ACAAAUGCGCAUUUGGGUUAAAAAACAGAACAUUUUUCUUUUGGCCACUGCAACAGUUACUAGCACUUGGGUGGAGGGAGGGAUGAAGAACCACACAUGACCAAGUGACUACACUUGUUUAUGCCACAGGAACUGUACAGGCUUCGUUGGAUCUACUCAGUUUGCACUUGUAGCAAGAGGAGAGGUCACAAAUUUCUAAUUCUACAGAAACAUUCAGCAAAAGUUAUUGCUUACAGUGGAACGUAGUCAUAUUAGGAAGACAAACUGUCAAGAGAGCUGACCCUCUACAAUGAAUCCAUUCAUCAGGAUCAACCAAGGAAAGCCUUUCAGCUUACUUCAGCGGAGCAGAGAACCAGGACCUCCACCAUUAUGCCAGCCAGAAAAUGAGAACAUUGUAAGGCUAAAGGUCAGCCCUUUGAGGAGUGGGUAAGGAAAGGUUAGAAACAGGAAAUACAAAUGAGACCCUCUCAUUUGUACACCUCCCUUCAGUUUUGCUUUGUUUUUAUCCUUUUGGAAAACUGUCAGAGAGCAUGCACAGUUGCUUGUCAGUUUGUUUAAAAACAAACUUACUGACAAAAAAACUUUAUUUGGUAUGAGGGAGAGGAAAAUGAAGACUGGGAAAAGAAGCAUACAAUCCUGAUGUUAUUUUUUUUAAGGACAAUGCAUGCUCUUGAGUUAGGCAAUGGUUUAUAUCCUUGUAGGCUAAAAGAGCUGCAUGUGCCAGAAGACAGCAUUCUUUGGGAGAGAUGGUGCACAGGACAGCAUGGGAACCAGGCUUUGCUUUUUGUGGUAGUUCAGGACACUUCCAGCUUUGUUGCUGGUGGAAAUCCUUUCUGUCUUUUUAAUGCACAGAAGGUAAUCUUUGCUUCGUCCUAAGAGGCAUUUAUAAACUGUAAUUUACUAUCUGAAUGGGACCAUCAGUUUAAAAUAAAUUUUAAAAAAAAGGUCAUUUUAAAAUGUACAGUAGCCCUUAUGUCUACAAAGCAUAAACCCAUCUGGACCAUAAGAUUUCAAAGAAUGCAUUUCAGAAAACUUAUCUUAAAGAGCAUGGUAUAUAAAAGUUAAGCGGAAGAGAAAUGAAUUAAGGAGAAGAGCCAGAUAUUCAGCAUUUCUUUGCAAUUGUACAUUUACUUCAAAGUUACAGCUUCAGUCAAUUCAGUGCCUAGUAAGUAUCAAAUUUUCCCACUGUGGUGUCAGCUUUGGAGAGAGGAGCUUUCUGCCUGUCUGCCUUGCUAUUCCGUGACACAGCAGCUUGUAACAUUCCAGGAACUUCUCACUUGCUCUCUGUGCCUUUUUUUUGUUUGUUUGUUUGUUUCCUGAGUUUGAAUGUGCUCACCAGAUGCAAUGAUAGUUAAAUGAAAGCAACAACAAAAAAAGAAAAGACCAAAGCAAGAUCUAAAUGGAUGCAGUAUUUCCCAGUGGCUUAUUUUCUAGUGGGUUAUCCUUGCUGAAAUGAGUAUGUAACAACCUCUGUUAACCAGUGGAAAUUCCAGAGAUAAAUUCAUACCAGAGAUACUCAGCUCCAUGUAGUUCUGGGCAACUAUUGUGCAACAGUUGAUCUAAACAUUUACUUGAAGAAAAAACUACUAAAAUUACUUAGUGGAUUUUUUCCCCUCAUUUUGCUCGUAAUUCAUGAAAUUUCAUAGGAACAAAUUUGAGUGCAAGAGAAUAUUUCUGAUGGCAUGAAGGUUUUGUGGAUGUUUUUGAGAAGGUUUGUCUGCAAUGGAAAUAUUUACAUACCCACACUGAAAAUUCAUUGUAAGCUUGAGAAUUAUCCAGUCAAGACAGAGAACCUGUAACAUCUGGCAGCGACCCUUAUAGCAAACUUGAGAAACAAACUUCCACAGCUGUCUGAGGAAAUGACUUGGACGCACCUCAUAGGCUGGAAGGUACCCACUUAAACCAUUCACCAAACCCUUUGAAAUACCCCAUUCAUCCUAAACGGUAUGUCUGCAUUGCAAAGCUUGAACAAUGCUGGUGUCGAAUUGCGAAGGAUAUCUGCCUGGAGGACUUCUGGUAACACAAAAGGUACAUGAAAGGAGGAUGCAGCUAAAGGAUACCCCCAACCUCCCCACUAAUUGAUAAAUCAGAGUAGUGCCAGUGUCAGCAGACAUGCCCCCCUAAAGAAACCCACAAAGGAGUGGUCAGAUCAGUUAUGCAAUUGGAGACUGGAAACCACCACAGAAACAAAAAUUGGACUACAAAAGUGGAACAGGUAGGAACUGUCAAGUGAUUUCUGUGAGGUCUGUCCCCAUCCAAGGCUCAAAAGUAUCUCUGUCCCUCUCCUAUGUGAUGUAUUUAACACCAGCUCUGCAGAAUUGCCAAGUCAUAUGAUGAAACUACGGAAAACAUGAGCUAAGGGAAUAAAUCUCACAUCACUCCAAGCUGCUUUUCAGGCUGUUUCCCUGCUCCCCUCCCCUUCUAGCAUGGUUCUUUUCGAACUGGUGUUUCACACUGUAAACCCCUAGGGCAUUGAUAUGCUAGGCAGGAGCUGAUACGUUGUGCAUCUUUAAGCAUGCCUUGUAGCCCUGUAUUCACAGGGUGGUGUUUCAUUAGCAACAGCUUAAAAAUUGAUUUAAACAUUAUGUUCAUUGCACACAAACACUCACAAAGCCUUCUGUUCCCAUUGAGGCUAAAAAAUUCCAUUGUAUGCGUAAUCUUUUAUGAGUGCAUUCUUUGAAUACUUUAUUUCUUAGAACUGUAACAGUUCUGUUUAUAAAAAGGAAUGAUACUGAUAGCAAUGUUAGGAACUUUCAGAAGGGACCACUUAGAUCUUUAAAUUUCCAUAUUAGUCCUGUUUCAAGAAAAAUACAAAGCAAAACAAAGACCCUCAAUUACAUAGUUUAAAUUCUUUAAGAAACAGCUUCACAUGCUAGGCUAAGAGGAUAGAAAAACCAAUCUUUGCCUCCUUGAUCAGAUCUUGCAGCCCUCUGAGGACAGUUUCACAUUAGAUCUUUUAAUUGUGCAUAGUUGCAAACUGGUUUACUACUACUGAGUCAGGCUAUCGUGUUGGACUGGGGAUAUUUAGAGAAGACAACAAGCUGGGGGGUGAGAAGCCUGAGGAAACACAGGGCCAACUGUUUUUUGAGUUGCACGGGGAGUGCAGAAAAAAAAUCCAUAGAUGCGCUGUAUGGCAGCCAGGAUCUGUGUCCAAGGAGACACAAAUGAAUGGUGUGCCUGCUAUCCUCUUACUGAUGCUCAGACACAAGUUACUGCUGCUGAAACAACUGCAGCACAGUACUUCAGGACAGGACCUUGGAGACUACUCUGAUCACCUCAAUGCUGCUCAAAACCUCUUCCCACUGAAUCCCCUCACUUCCAGCAGAGGAGUCUAGCAGGCCUCCUCUGCUAGCAUUUCAAGGGGUAGCCAGGUUACUCUGCACCAUGAGUGACUACUUUAGGACAGUGGUACGUCUUGGAAAACGAGGCAUAUUAACUUGGACCCACCUCUGCAGCCAUGCAAGCACCCAACUUUGAACUGGCUUGAAGAACUAGAAGAAGAAACUCAGUUCUACCCACAGCAUAUCAUGGAAAGAUUUUCUCAGAGUUUCACCUCUUUUGCUUUCUUUAAGAACUUGAAAGUUACACAAUAAAAAGUAAUGCUUAGCACUUGCAGUGGCAUGGCAUCUGUUACCUGAUGGUUUUAACGGUAAGACAUGCCUUAUAGCAUGUCUGUGGUGGGUGGCAUGACACUCACUUUGGAGCAAAUGGUGACACGAGAUUCCACAAAGGCCACAUGGUGAUUCUUCAGCAGAGCUAGGACUAAAACAUACAACUCUCAGAUCUGUAGAACAGCUUGCACAAAACCUCAGUUCCUUAAGACUUUUGAAAAGUCUCAAAGAUAUCUUGCAACCAAAGGCUCUAUGAGAGAAAUGACAGUCUUAUUUUAUUUAGCAUCUCUGUUUUUUCAACCAUUUGUAAUUCAGGCAGCUAUCAGCAAUGUCUGAAAUAUUUUUUAGAAAAUAAAGAGAAAGUGGUAUCAGCAAACAGCUUUUUGCCCUUAAAGCAGACAAAAAAACAACCACAAAAGCAGACAUUCUGCCUCCCUUGUAGUUGUAAAGGCUGACCAUAUGGUGAUCAGGGUGAACAGAUCUUUCAAGAAGGUAUUCUUUAACUAAGAGCUAAUGAGAGGCAUGAAGGGGUGGCAGUGAACUGACAAACACCAGCAGGUCAGGGAAGAGAAUAAAAAAUAAAUAAAAAGCUUAUUUUCCACCCAAGUAUUAUAUAUUCAGAAGGGUGUAAAUUCAAUUUAGAAA
Molecule: long non-coding RNA, 4256 nt
Organism: Cygnus atratus (black swan)
Lineage: Eukaryota; Metazoa; Chordata; Aves; Anseriformes; Anatidae
Exons: 3
Source: RefSeq, a predicted model, not a curated record